This is a non-coding RNA of Saimiri boliviensis boliviensis (Bolivian squirrel monkey), 2064 nucleotides long. Lineage: Eukaryota; Metazoa; Chordata; Mammalia; Primates; Cebidae. The record is from RefSeq and is a predicted model, not a curated record.
UGUUUUUCCUCCAGGUAAGGAUACAACCGGAAGCUAGCAGUCAGCAGGCUGGAAAACAGCCCUCGCCAGAACCCAACCCUUGGACUUCAGCCUUCAGAGCUGGCCUUGCUGUACCUUGUUGUAGUGUUUGAAAACAUCUGAGGCUGCGUCCAUCUCCAGUACUCCAUAAAGCAACAGCUUACAGAACCCGGCCAAGAGGCGGCGCCGCUGGUGUAGGCGCUCUAUCUGUAAAUGAUCCUCCUGGGAAUUACCUGGUUCACAUGGAAGGCAGAAGAAAAUCACAGACUUAGGUCUCCUGCCCUGUAUUCCAGAACCACACCCAAGCCCCAGCCCUUACUGAGCCCCAGGUAUAGAGUCACUGCACCACUGCCCAAGUCUCCUGGCUGAAUGAAGACAUGGUCCAUGAGGAAGCUGGCUAGCUCAGACUGGAGGGUAGCUUCAGGAAAAAAGACAAGUGGCCUAAGGAAAUCACGGCCCCCGACAAUCAUCUGAGGGCUAAAGAUGAGAAGCAGAUCACUUAAUAAGACAAAAGCCUGUAGGGAUAAAAGAAAGGAUGCUUAAAAGACAGAAUGUUUCCCAAGGUAGAAAAGACACUGUCAAUUUCUCCUUGGAAUGGGGACAGAAGCACUCGCCUUCUUGCUCCCACUUGAGUCAAUGCUCACCUGCUCCCGGAUCUCAGUAUCCACAUCUGAGAGGCAACUCUGGCAGAGUUCACAGAAGGCCACCAUUCUUUCCCUCAAACUCGACAGCUGCUUCUGUGGGCACAGUGACUUGAGGGGGAAGAAUGAAGACAUAGGCUCCUCUGUUCCCAUUUCCCCUUCUAAGACCCACACUCACCUGGGAAGCAUCUGAUUUAGAAAUGUGGGUUAGUGUCCACAGAAUGGAAAAAUAGACAAGAGUCAAGGCUGGCAGGAUAACCUGUAACAACAAAGUGUUUGAAAAAUGAGGUUUGGGUCAGGAGGGGGAGAGACAGAUAGGCAGACACAGCAGUGAAGAGGAGAGAAAAUGAGUAAGGGGAGACCCAAUUCCUUCUGGUGGAAAAUGAAUGAUAUUCUGGACAAUCUUCAGAGGCUUCUAUAUGAGGUAGAAAUGUCUCUACUCCCUAAUUUACUCUAUGUCUCCUAGAAUCCCUCAAUGUUAUCUUCGGCUUCCAGGAAAUCCAAGAAGAUAGUUGUGUUUAGACAAUGGAAGUAGAGUCUACCCUCUAAGAGAGGAAUGUAAGGGAUGACCCCCACCUGAUCUUCCUCACUUUGUCCACUCCACACCCUGGGUCUUGACCCACCUGGUGGCCACCUGGGACAUAGGUCCUUAAAAACUAGUUCCCCAGCCCCCAACCCAUCUCCAGCCUUCUGCAGGUUCUUCAUUCACCUGGUGAGGAACCUCUCCUGUGUCCACAGCCUUCUGCAGCAGUUGGCAACAUGGCUCAUAGAGCUCCCAGCGAGUCAGGUCAUGAGCGCUUUGUGGGAGAGAGGGGAACGUUAUACUGGAAAAAGAACAGAGUGAACCAACUCCACAGACACCAGUAAAAAUGGGAUGGGGAAGACAAGGAAAGCCACUCACUUGUAGAAGGCAGAAAGGCGUUUCAGAGUGGUUGCCAGGUUAUAUACCUCAUCCUCAUCUAGGAAGGAUGACUGAGGAAGAAAGAAGAUCCACAAUAGCAUUUCUCCCAGAACUCAUCUGUCCACGUCCCCUAUCUUGCAGCCCCUCCCACCCUUGUUUGGGGUGUCCCAUUGUCUAGCCCCAGCUCCUACCUGCGGCAGCUCUUCAAGCUCCUGCUGGAAGCGGUCAGUUAGUAGAUCUACUAGUUGGCUGCGGGCAAAGUCCGCCCGGCUGAAGAAAGUGAAUUCGGGAUUACAGAGCAAGUAGAGGGCAUGUGCCCCAGCCUCAAGCACUGCUGGCUCUGUGUGCUUCACCACCACCUCCUGGAGUUGCUUCAGGAGCAGCUCCAGGUGCUGAGAAGAAAAGGCAGAAGAUGGUGUGCUGUGGGGGUGGGAGGAGGAAAACUCUUCUGGAGGGAAGUGAAAUGGGGUUAAAAGCAUUAAACUUCAAGGAUAAGAUGCCUAA